Equus quagga is the source of this 1120-nucleotide long non-coding RNA. RefSeq lists it as uncharacterized. Lineage: Eukaryota; Metazoa; Chordata; Mammalia; Perissodactyla; Equidae. The record is from RefSeq and is a predicted model, not a curated record. The transcript has 3 exons.
CACCGGGUCCGCAUGCACGCCUGCCCCACUGUCUGGGGAAGCCGUUUGUCAGGCUGUUGUAAGGAGAGCUUGUGGUAAUGGGUAAGCCACCUCCUGGCUUCCCCAAAGAGUGUCGCUCUAGGUCCUUUGACUCAUAAACAACACGAUGCACUGUGAUGACAAUUAAAGUGAAGGCUACUGCCACCAAGCCAGAGUUCAGGAGCAGCCAGACCGUGACAUUCAUUUUGAAUGUUUCAAAUUUAACAGCCUCCUGCCGCUGAUGAGGAGAGGCUCUCAUCUCCACAGUGCAGAAUGACAAAUGAUGAGGAAACAGAGGCUGGAAGAGGUUAGGGAAUGUGUCCAACACUUCACAGCUAGUGGGUAGCAGAGCUGGGAUUCACACCCUGGCAACCUGACCGGAGAGCGCCCGCCUUGAACCACCACCCUCUACAAAGGAAAAUUUCCAUUCUGACCUAGGCAUUCGCUAGCUUUGUGACCCUGGGCAAAUUACUAAACUUCUCCAAGCCUUUCUCUCCUCUGCAUUGGGACUGAAAAGAGAAGCUACCUGACAUGAGGACCGAACAGGAUGACGUAAGUAAAGCACUUAGCACUGGGCCUGGCCCACGGGAAGCACUCACAUGUCACCCCAUAGCAGUGGUUUGGGCAGGAUGAGCAUCGCUCUCCAGCCUUCACCAGGACCUGAAGUGAGACAGGAUACAGUGCGUCCCCAUCACCCCUUGAUGGUGUGGCAGCCACUCAUGGGCAGGACUGUGAAGUCUCGGGUCCUCAAGUCCAGAAGUGACGCCCAUGAUGGUCGGUGCACAUUACCUUGGCACCAGGAAGUUCUUCACACUGGAACGUGCACCGGCUCCCCCUCAUCUAGAAGAGAGAUCGUCCACGCCAUGCUGUCCACCUACCCCAUCCCACCCCCAUAAACCCUGCCCCUGGCCCCAUCUGCUAUUUCCUGCUUGCUCUUCUUCAGAUUUAAAUCGAGAAUCCGGAACGAGUUCACAAACAUCUUAGACUUCUCCUUUAUUACCUGCCUAACUUCUUUGGCAAUCAGCUGUGGAGGGUUAUGCAAUCCAUGUUUGAAGAAGCAUUGAUGAUCUAAUCUGGAGGCAGUGCUGUGGAACCCACAGUG